CAGUCGCCACGGUAAUACAUAGGGUGCGAGCGUUAAUCGGAAUUACUGGGCGUAAAGCGUGCGCAGGCGGUUGUGUAAGACAGGUGUGGAAUCCCCGGGCUUAACCUGGGAACUGCGCUUGUAACUGCACAGCUAGAGUAUGGCAGAGGGGGGUGGAAUUCCACGUGUAGCAGUGAAAUGCGUAGAGAUGUGGAGGAACACCGAUGGCGAAGGCAGCCCCCUGGGCCAAUACUGACACUCAUGCACGAAAGCGUGGGGAGCAAACAGGAUUAGAUACCCCCGUAGUCCCUGUCUCUUAUAC
RNAcentral lists this ribosomal RNA (301 nucleotides) under uncultured bacterium. RNAcentral describes it as "partial 16S ribosomal RNA". It matches the Rfam family "Bacterial small subunit ribosomal RNA", at positions 509 to 807 of the family's 1533-position model. The record is from RNAcentral.